CGCCAGACUCCUACGGGAGGCAGCAGUGGGGAAUAUUGCACAAUGGGGGAAACCCUGAUGCAGCGACGCCGCGUGAGCGAUGAAGUAUUUCGGUAUGUAAAGCUCUAUCAGCAGGGAAGAAGAUGACGGUACCUGACUAAGAAGCCCCGGCUAACUACGUGCCAGCAGCCGCGGUAAUACGUAGGGGGCAAGCGUUAUCCGGAUUUACUGGGUGUAAAGGGGGCGCAGACGGCGAUGCAAGCCAGGAGUGAAAGCCCGGGGCCCAACCCCGGGACUGCUCUUGGAACUGCGUGGCUGGAGUGCAGGAGGGGCAGGCGGAAUUCCUGGUGUAGCGGUGAAAUGCGUAGAUAUCAGGAGGAACACCGGUGGCGAAGGCGGCCUGCUGGACGGCAACUGACGUUGAGGCCCGAAAGCGUGGGGAGCAAACAGGAUUAGAUACCCCCGUAGAC
RNAcentral lists this ribosomal RNA (449 nucleotides) under uncultured bacterium. Its description in RNAcentral is "bacterial SSU rRNA". It matches the Rfam family "Bacterial small subunit ribosomal RNA", at positions 329 to 795 of the family's 1533-position model. The record is from RNAcentral.